Homo sapiens (human) is the source of this 732-nucleotide long non-coding RNA. The record is from Ensembl. NCBI's taxonomy places the organism in Eukaryota, Metazoa, Chordata, Mammalia, Primates, Hominidae.
CUUUAUAGUACAAGUACUUCCUUAUUAAAAUAAGAUAACUUUCCUCCAAUAAUCAAUUUUUAAACCAUUUCUGCAUUGUCAUGGUUUCACAUGUCUUUAAGCUUAUUUUGUAUAGUUUGCAACCUAAAUCUAUGCAACAUUUUCUAGUACUGACAAACCUACGGUAUUUGAGUUAUGGGCUGACAUUCAUGGUCUUGCAGGCAAAACUCAAGUUCCUAGGUAGGACUGAGAAGUGGCAUGAGCCACUGUGCUCAGCCUCAGUUUAUUUUUUACUCAUAAAUAACUCAGAUUUGAUUUCUUCUUAUGGGUUUGCUGGAAGUAAAAAUCACAUUCACAACCACUGAAGCCAGACAUUUGAUUACUCUUAACAAUUAACAGUAUUAUUUAUUAGGAAAGUAAUGCUGUAAGAGUCAGCAAAAUGGGGCCUGGCUUCCCGGGGCUUUGUCCUAGUCAGCAACUUGCCUUGCACUGCCCUCUUCCUGCCACCUGUGUCCAGCCUGAGCAAGAAAAGAUCUGAUGCUCAGGGAAUCCCUCAUUGGGAAAAUUUAAAUAUGGACCGUAUAGUAGAUGAUAAUAUUGAAAUUAGGUUAUCUUUUUAUUAGAUGUGAUGAUGGUAAUGUGAUAAUGUAGGUGAAUGUUCUUAUUUUUAGGUGAGGCGUGGGGAAUGUUUCCGGAUGGAAUAUUCUAUGUCUUCAACUUACUUUCAAAAAAACAAUACAGCAAGUCCUCAAA